Long non-coding RNA from Leucoraja erinaceus (little skate), 761 nucleotides. RefSeq lists it as uncharacterized. NCBI's taxonomy places the organism in Eukaryota, Metazoa, Chordata, Chondrichthyes, Rajiformes, Rajidae. The transcript has 4 exons. The record is from RefSeq and is a predicted model, not a curated record.
GCCCCUGAUCGCCAGUCAGGCACUUUCCCUCCGUGAGGCGGCGGGCCAGGUGCGUGUGCGCUCCCGCUCCAAGCUCGGGGUAUCAGGAGGCCACGUGUUGGGCCCUCCGGCCGCGGGUCAGAUAACGCGCUACAAUCCCAGGUUUAUUCGUAUUCAAUCCCACGUCUAUUUGGUACUUUCAAUCCAAUUUUACGUCUGCUGAGGGCAAAUAUGGAAGAAUAGGCUAGAGGGAGUGCUGAGAUGGAAGGCAAUGAUUUUGUUUACAAUGCUGAAAGCCACACAUCAGAGAAGACCUGUUGGACAAUGUGGUGCACGGAUAGUUGUAUUUGAAAAGGAUGCAGUCCCAAUCUCGGUAAGGCAUUUGUGAGGAAAGGUUGCCUAAUCUCCUAUGAAGAUGUUGGAAAUACAUGUGAAAUGAAUAAUCGAUGGGUGAUACUGGAAACCAUUGAUGUCAAAACAGCGUGAUAUGCAAGGAUAAUGAGAUGCAAUGGAAUGCAGAACCGGCCAUUUGUAAACAAGACUACCACACACUGUUCUCAGAUGUAACAUGCAUCAGAUAAUUUCCAUAAACACCAGUCAGUGUAAUUGGAUUGAAAGUCUCAUCCCAGAGGAGACACACACAGGAUGGACCCAUUCAUCUUUGAUGGUAUGCUGAUGGCUGGCAUUUUGUAGCUGAUCAAGAAGAAAGCCCACGUGAAGAACUGAGGCCGUUCUGGAAUGUGUCUGAUGUGGAAAUUCUUGAAAUAAAGGCCUUCUGGCAA